UAUCAGCACCCCAAUACAAACCGGGGCUUAUUAUACUUGCCAAGUUUUUGUAGAGAGCUGAUGUGUUUCCUGUCACUGUGGGCUGCAGAGCACAGUAGUACAGAGCAGAGUCUGAUACAGCAGCAGAAGAGAUCUCCAGAUCCACAUGGAUUUGUUCCUUUUUUUCAACUUUAACAGAGAAUCUUGGAUCUAAAUCAGACACCUCAGCUUUUUUUGCACUAGCGAAGGCUUCAAAGCCUCGGUGUCGAACGUCACAUCACUACUCUUUGGCUCUGGCUGCUGGACUCCCUACUGCCUGCCUCCCUUGCGGCCCAGCUCUACCUGCUUCCCUGCCUUUCUAGCUCCAUCCAUCCAGCUGCUCAGCUAAUAUCAGUCUUGUCCACCAGCCUCAGGAGAUCCCAGUUAAGUCAGCUAGGCUUCUGCCUUCUUUCUCCUGGAACCACUCUCCCACCCUCACCAUUCCCUGUGCCCUGUUGUUCAUUGGAGAGCUUAUCUGUCUCAUUGCUCUCUGCCAGUCACUCAGAAACCCCUUUCCUAGAUUCCCCCUGCUGAGCUGACAUUCUCUUCCACGGACCUGGCUGGAAUCUCACCUGGUUACCCUCUCAGACAGUGACUAGUUCCUGUUUUGUGUUUGAAACUCAAUAAAUCUG
Onychostoma macrolepis is the source of this 650-nucleotide long non-coding RNA. RefSeq lists it as uncharacterized. The record is from RefSeq and is a predicted model, not a curated record. The transcript is spliced from 3 exons. Lineage: Eukaryota; Metazoa; Chordata; Actinopteri; Cypriniformes; Cyprinidae.